RNAcentral lists this ribosomal RNA (434 nucleotides) under uncultured bacterium. Its description in RNAcentral is "bacterial SSU rRNA". It matches the Rfam family "Bacterial small subunit ribosomal RNA", at positions 26 to 507 of the family's 1533-position model. The record is from RNAcentral.
AGAACGAACGCUGGCGGCAUGCCUAACACAUGCAAGUCGAACGAGACCUUCGGGUCUAGUGGCGCACGGGUGCGUAACGCGUGGGAAUCUGCCCUUGGGUUCGGAAUAACAGUUAGAAAUGACUGCUAAUACCGGAUAAUGUCUUCGGACCAAAGAUUUAUCGCCCAGGGAUGAGCCCGCGUAGGAUUAGCUAGUUGGUGAGGUAAAGGCUCACCAAGGCGACGAUCCUUAGCUGGUCUGAGAGGAUGAUCAGCCACACUGGGACUGAGACACGGCCCAGACUCCUACGGGAGGCAGCAGUGGGGAAUAUUGGACAAUGGGCGAAAGCCUGAUCCAGCAAUGCCGCGUGAGUGAUGAAGGCCUUAGGGUUGUAAAGCUCUUUACCCGAGAUGAUAAUGACAGUAUCGGGAGAAUAAGCUCCGGCUAACUCCGUG